Molecule: ribosomal RNA, 1156 nt
Filed under: fungal endophyte
Lineage: Eukaryota; Fungi
Description: eukaryotic LSU rRNA
Rfam family: Eukaryotic large subunit ribosomal RNA (bases 567-1156)
Source: RNAcentral
GGAUCAUUACUGAGUUGUAAAAAACUCCCAAACCCAUGUGAACCUACUGUUUUGUUGCCUCGGCGGGCUGGCCCCCCGGCGGACCUACCCGGUAGCUUCGGGCGGACCUACCCUGCAAUGCGGGAGCGGUCCUACCCGGUAGCCUCACCGGCCGGUCCUACCCGGGAGUGCCGCCCAAGGCCCGCCGGCGGCCCACCAAACUCUGUUUUUACUUGGUACUCUGAGUGAUUACGCAAAUAAUCAAAACUUUCAACAACGGAUCUCUUGGUUCUGGCAUCGAUGAAGAACGCAGCGAAAUGCGAUAAGUAAUGUGAAUUGCAGAAUUCAGUGAAUCAUCGAAUCUUUGAACGCACAUUGCGCCCAUUAGUAUUCUAGUGGGCAUGCCUGUUCGAGCGUCAUUUCAACCCUUACGCCCUGUUGCGUAGCGUUGGGAGCCUACCCUCACAGAGGCGUAGCUCCUUAAAGAUAGUGGCAGAGCGGAAUCCGUCUCUAAGCGUAGUAAAAUACCAUUUCUCGCUUCUGUAGGUGGUUCCGUCUCCCGCCGUAAAACCCUAUUUUCCAAUGGUUGACCUCGGAUCAGGUAGGAAUACCCGCUGAACUUAAGCAUAUCAAUAAGCGGAGGAAAAGAAACCAACAGGGAUUGCCCUAGUAACGGCGAGUGAAGCGGCAACAGCUCAAAUUUGAAAUCUGGCUCUCGGGCCCGAGUUGUAAUUUGUAGAGGAUGCUUUUGGCGCGGUGCCUUCCGAGUUCCCUGGAACGGGACGCCUUAGAGGGUGAGAGCCCCGUACGGUUGGACACCAAGCCUCUGUAAAGCUCCUUCGACGAGUCGAGUAGUUUGGGAAUGCUGCUCUAAAUGGGAGGUAAAUUUCUUCUAAAGCUAAAUACCGGCCAGAGACCGAUAGCGCACAAGUAGAGUGAUCGAAAGAUGAAAAGCACUUUGAAAAGAGGGUUAAAUAGCACGUGAAAUUGUUGAAAGGGAAGCGUUUGCGACCAGACCUUCUGCAGGCGGAUCAUGUGGUGUUUUCACCGCUGCACUUCGCCUGCUGUAGGCCAGCAUCGGUUUCCGCUGGGGGAUAAAAACUGGGGGAAAGUAGCUCUCUUCGGGGAGUGUUAUAGCCCCUUGUAUAAUGCCCCGGCGGGGACCGAGGACCGCGCU